Molecule: long non-coding RNA, 92 nt
Organism: Sinocyclocheilus grahami
Lineage: Eukaryota; Metazoa; Chordata; Actinopteri; Cypriniformes; Cyprinidae
Exons: 3
Source: RefSeq, a predicted model, not a curated record
CUCACCCAGUCUGUACUUCUCCUUAGCCUCAGCCCGCUCUUUUGCAUCAAAGUACCAAACGGUGAUGGCGUAGCUAGUUGUAAAAGCUAGUU